UAAUACAUGCGCACAUACCUCUUCCCUCGUGGAAGGGUAGUGUUUAUUAGAUACAGAACCAACCCACCUUCGGGUGGUCCUCAGGUGAUUCAUAGUAACCGAACGGAUCGCAUUAUGGCCUUUUGGUCGGCGAUGGAUCAUUCAAGUUUCUGACCUAUCAGCUUUCGACGGUACUGUAUUGGACUACCGUGGCAGUGACGGGUAACGGGGAAUUAGGGUUCGAUUCCGGAGAGGGAGCCUGAGAAACGGCUACCACAUCUAAGGAAGGCAGCAGGCGCGCAAAUUACCCAAUCCUGACUCAGGGAGGUAGUGACAAGAAAUAACAACACUGGAAAUUAUAUUUCUAGUGAUUGGAAUGAUGGGAAUCCAAACCCCUUUCAGAGUAACAAUUGGAGGGCAAGUCUGGUGCCAGCAGCCGCGGUAAUUCCAGCUCCAAUAGCGUAUAUUAAAGUUGUUGCAGUUAAAAAGCUCGUAGUUGGAUAUCUGCUGGAAGCAGCCAGUCCGCCCUUUGUGGGUGUGCACUUGRUGAAUUCUGGCAUCCUCCUGAUUGGUGUUAUCAUCACUUCAUUGUGUUGAUGGCAGCUGUCAGGACCGUUACUUUGAGAAAAUUAGAGUGUUUCAAGCAGGCUUGUUGCCUUGAAUACUGCAGCAUGGAAUAACAAGAUAGGAUUUCGGUUCUAUUUUGUUGGUUUCUAGGACUGAAGUAAUGAUUAAUAGGGACAGUUGGGGGCAUUCGUAUUUAACUGUCAGAGGUGAAAUUCUUAGAUUUGUUAAAGACGAACUACU
This 786-nucleotide ribosomal RNA is filed under the name Sarcocystis neurona. Its description in RNAcentral is "SSU rRNA". It matches the Rfam family "Eukaryotic small subunit ribosomal RNA", at positions 166 to 955 of the family's 1831-position model. Lineage: Eukaryota; Apicomplexa; Conoidasida; Eucoccidiorida; Sarcocystidae. The record is from RNAcentral.